Pogona vitticeps (central bearded dragon) is the source of this 589-nucleotide non-coding RNA. The record is from RefSeq and is a predicted model, not a curated record. Lineage: Eukaryota; Metazoa; Chordata; Lepidosauria; Squamata; Agamidae.
GGGAGCGCAGAGAGGGGUAAACAAGACUUCCAGAAGCAGCCACAAACGGAGCGAGCAGAGCAGACACCCUUAUCAGGUGCAUUUGGUGAGGAUGUGAGAAAGGGUCUUCUCUGUGGAUACUCCUGAGCUGUGGAACUGCCUUCUGCAGGAAGCUGGCUUGUAUAACUGCCGGAACCAGUCCUUUGGAGCAGCUGUUGGGCAUCUCCAGAUUACAUCAUUGAUGAUGCACAGAGUGUGGUGUGGGAGUAAACCCUACUCUUUUCCUCUGCCUUCUGCUCAUGCCGAUAAGAAUUACAACUGUAACAGAAGCUGAAAAAUGUACUUAUAAAAUACGUUUUCUCCUAGUUCAACACUUUAGCACUAAUCUGAUACAGCACUAAUUCAGAUGCUUAGCUUGUCUUGUCAGUUCAACGCUAUUUCACUUGCUACCAUUUUUAAAAAAGGGAUUUGAAUGCCUAUGAAAGGGGUAGAUAAGAGGGUGAUGAUAAUGGCAGAGAAGGGCAAGAGGAAAGGAGUACUGUGUGACAUAUGGGCACUGGCACUUGAAACACUUUUUCCUGGAAUAAUUGAACAUUUCUGAAUAAAUGAC